RNAcentral lists this transfer RNA (92 nucleotides) under Egicoccus halophilus. RNAcentral's name for it is "tRNA-Trp". The record is from RNAcentral. Lineage: Bacteria; Bacillati; Actinomycetota; Nitriliruptoria; Egicoccales; Egicoccaceae.
UGGACCCGUGGUGCACCCGGUGGUGGCUCGGCGUGUUCCAGACGUACUCGACCCAACGUGGCAGCGUGCCGAUCGCCUCGGUGUGGAUCCAG